UACGGAGGGUGCAAGCGUUGUCCGGAUUUACUGGGUUUAAAGGGUGCGUAGGUGGGUCUGUAAGUCAGUGGUGAAAUCUCCGGGCUUAACUCGGAAACUGCCAUUGAUACUAUAGGUCUUGAAUUAUCUGGAGGUGAGCGGAAUAUGUCAUGUAGCGGUGAAAUGCUUAGAUAUGACAUAGAACACCAAUUGCGAAGGCAGCUCACUACGGAUAUAUUGACACUGAGGCACGAAAGCGUGGGGAUCAAACAGG
Molecule: ribosomal RNA, 253 nt
Filed under: uncultured bacterium
Lineage: Bacteria
Description: partial 16S ribosomal RNA
Rfam family: Bacterial small subunit ribosomal RNA
Source: RNAcentral